RNAcentral lists this unclassified non-coding RNA (262 nucleotides) under Cabalodontia albofibrillosa. RNAcentral's name for it is "Steccherinum albofibrillosum partial internal transcribed spacer region". The stretch from base 1 to 46 matches the Rfam family "Eukaryotic small subunit ribosomal RNA", at positions 1786 to 1831 of the family's 1831-position model. The record is from RNAcentral. Lineage: Eukaryota; Fungi; Basidiomycota; Agaricomycetes; Polyporales; Steccherinaceae.
AAGUCGUAACAAGGUUUCCGUAGGUGAACCUGCGGAAGGAUCAUUAACGAAUGAAGUUGAGCAGGGUUGUCGCUGGCCUCCGGGCAUGUGCACACCUUGUUCUACCCACCCUUCUAUACCACUGUGCACUUCUCAUGGGCUGGUUCUGCACCUUCGGGCUGCAAUCCUGCCUGUGUGCUUUAUACAUACACGUUUGUCAUAGAAUGUCUACUGUGCAUGAAUGCAUAUAAUACAACUUUCAGCAACGGAUCUCUUGGCUCUC